Molecule: ribosomal RNA, 563 nt
Filed under: uncultured bacterium
Lineage: Bacteria
Description: bacterial SSU rRNA
Rfam family: Bacterial small subunit ribosomal RNA
Source: RNAcentral
UCCUACGGGAGGCAGCAGUGGGGAAUAUUGGACAAUGGGCGCAAGCCUGAUCCAGCAAUGCCGCGUGAGUGAGGAAGGCCUUAGGGUUGUAAAGCUCUUUCACCCGCGACGAUGAUGACGGUAGCGGGAGAAGAAGCCCCGGCUAACUUCGUGCCAGCAGCCGCGGUAAUACGAAGGGGGCGAGCGUUGUUAGGAUUUACUGGGCGUAAAGGGCGCGCAGGCGGCUCAUUUUGUCAGGCGUGAAAGCCCCGGGCUUAACCUGGGAACUGCGUUUGAUACGGAUGGGCUAGAGUUCGGGAGAGGAGAGUGGAAUUCCCAGUGUAGAGGUGAAAUUCGUAGAUAUUGGGAAGAACACCGGUGGCGAAGGCGGCUCUCUGGACCGAUACUGACGCUGAGGCGCGAAAGCGUGGGGAGCAAACAGGAUUAGAUACCCUGGUAGUCCACGCUGUAAACGAUGUGUGCUAGACGUUGGGGAGCCUAGCUCUUCGGUGUCGCAGCUAACGCGGUAAGCACACCGCCUGGGGAGUACGGCCGCAAGGUUAAAACUCAAAGGAAUUGACGGA